RNAcentral lists this ribosomal RNA (301 nucleotides) under uncultured bacterium. RNAcentral describes it as "partial 16S ribosomal RNA". It matches the Rfam family "Bacterial small subunit ribosomal RNA", at positions 509 to 807 of the family's 1533-position model. The record is from RNAcentral.
CAGUCGCCACGGUAAUACGGAGGGGGCUAGCGUUGUUCGGAAUUACUGGGCGUAAAGCGCACGUAGGCGGCUUGGUAAGUUAGAGGUGAAAGCCUGGAGCUCAACUCCAGAAUUGCCUUUAAGACUGCCGAGCUAGCAGGUGAGAGAGGUAAGUGGAAUUCCGAGUGUAGAGGUGAAAUUCGUAGACAUUCGGAGGAACACCAGUGGCGAAGGCGGCUUACUGGCUCAUACUGGACGCUGAGGUGCGAAAGCGUGGGGAGCAAACAGGAUUAGAUACCCCUGUAGUCCCUGUCUCUUAUAC